UAUUGCGCAAUGGGCGAAAGCCUGACGCAGCGACGCCGCGUGGGUGAUGAAGGCCUUCGGGUCGUAAAGCCCUGUCGAGGGGAACGAAACGGUGCCGACCUAACACGUCGGUGCCCUGACGGUACCCCUAAAGGAAGCACCGGCUAACUCCGUGCCAGCAGCCGCGGUAAUACGGAGGGUGCGAGCGUUGUUCGGAAUCACUGGGCGUAAAGGGCGUGUAGGCGGUCCGUUAAGUCUGAUGUGAAAGCCCGGGGCUCACCCCCGGAAGGGCAUUGGAAACUGGCGGACUCGAGUCCCGGAGAGGAGGGUGGAAUUCCUGGUGUAGCGGUGGAAUGCGUAGAUAUCAGGAGGAACACCGGUGGCGAAGGCGGCCCUCUGGACGGUGACUGACGCUGAGACGCGAAAGCGUGGGGAGCAAAC
Molecule: ribosomal RNA, 420 nt
Filed under: uncultured bacterium
Lineage: Bacteria
Description: bacterial SSU rRNA
Rfam family: Bacterial small subunit ribosomal RNA
Source: RNAcentral